AUUAUGUUAUAAUAUUGGUUGAGCAAGUUGGAUAGAUGGUGGCUAAUCUCAUGAAAAUGGGGUGAUGCCUAUGGUUUUGGUUUCUACUCCAAGAAAGGAAUAGCAUGUCUGAUUAUGAAAUGCUGAUGAUUGUUUUAACAAUCAUUGGUUUAGUAUUAAUUAGCAAUAACCA
This 172-nucleotide small RNA is filed under the name Staphylococcus haemolyticus. Its description in RNAcentral is "Listeria sRNA rli28". It matches the Rfam family "Listeria sRNA rli28". The record is from RNAcentral. Lineage: Bacteria; Bacillati; Bacillota; Bacilli; Caryophanales; Staphylococcaceae. RNAcentral also lists the same sequence under 1 other name.